CCUACGGGUGGCAGCAGUGGGGAAUAUUGCACAAUGGGCGCAAGCCUGAUGCAGCCAUGCCGCGUGUGUGAAGAAGGCCUUCGGGUUGUAAAGCACUUUCAGCGGGGAGGAAGGCGGUGAGGUUAAUAACCUCAUCGAUUGACGUUACCCGCAGAAGAAGCACCGGCUAACUCCGUGCCAGCAGCCGCGGUAAUUCGGAGGGUGCAAGCGUUAAUCGGAAUUACUGGGCGUAAAGCGCACGCAGGCGGUCUGUCAAGUCGGAUGUGAAAUCCCCGGGCUCAACCUGGGAACUGCAUUCGAAACUGGCAGGCUAGAGUCUUGUAGAGGGGGGUAGAAUUCCAGGUGUAGCGGUGAAAUGCGUAGAGAUCUGGAGGAAUACCGGUGGCGAAGGCGGCCCCCUGGACAAAGACUGACGCUCAGGUGCGAAAGCGUGGGGAGCAAACAGGAUUAGAUACCCUAGUAGUC
Molecule: ribosomal RNA, 465 nt
Filed under: uncultured Klebsiella sp.
Lineage: Bacteria; Pseudomonadati; Pseudomonadota; Gammaproteobacteria; Enterobacterales; Enterobacteriaceae
Description: bacterial SSU rRNA
Rfam family: Bacterial small subunit ribosomal RNA
Source: RNAcentral